Molecule: small RNA, 28 nt
Filed under: Bombyx mori (domestic silkworm)
Lineage: Eukaryota; Metazoa; Arthropoda; Insecta; Lepidoptera; Bombycidae
Description: ovarian small RNA-19994
Source: RNAcentral
UACAAACACGUUAAUGCGACUGUUAGCC